Molecule: ribosomal RNA, 115 nt
Filed under: Danio rerio (zebrafish)
Lineage: Eukaryota; Metazoa; Chordata; Actinopteri; Cypriniformes; Danionidae
Source: RNAcentral
GCUAGCAGCUAGCUCUCUGCAACUCUCACAUGGUCGCCCACUGAAGCUAAGCAGGGCUGCGCCCGGUCAGUACCUGGAUGGGAGACCACUUGGGAAAGCUAGGUUGCUGCCGGAA